RNAcentral lists this non-coding RNA (21 nucleotides) under Caenorhabditis elegans. Lineage: Eukaryota; Metazoa; Nematoda; Chromadorea; Rhabditida; Rhabditidae. The record is from RNAcentral.
UAAAAAGCGUUCUUUACAGAG